Molecule: small RNA, 119 nt
Filed under: Salmonella enterica
Lineage: Bacteria; Pseudomonadati; Pseudomonadota; Gammaproteobacteria; Enterobacterales; Enterobacteriaceae
Also listed under: 2 other names
Description: partial RtT sRNA
Rfam family: RtT RNA
About the family: This family represents a bacterial cis-regulatory element known as RtT RNA. The exact function of RtT is unknown although it is thought that it may be involved in changing the cellular response in relation to amino acid starvation.
Source: RNAcentral
AUAUCUCUCUGUACGGGAAGGAUGAGAAGCUUCGACUAAGGUUCGAUUCGAGCGUCAGCGAGAAAGCGUUGCCGCAGGCAACGACCCGAAGGGCGAAGCGCGCAGCGCUGAGUCAUCCU